GGGUGAGGGCAGGUGGUU
This 18-nucleotide microRNA is filed under the name Homo sapiens (human). RNAcentral describes it as "hsa-miR-4710". Lineage: Eukaryota; Metazoa; Chordata; Mammalia; Primates; Hominidae. The record is from miRBase by way of RNAcentral.